Molecule: ribosomal RNA, 233 nt
Filed under: uncultured bacterium
Lineage: Bacteria
Description: partial 16S ribosomal RNA
Rfam family: Bacterial small subunit ribosomal RNA
Source: RNAcentral
ACGGGUGAGUAACACGUAUCCAACCUGCCGUCUACUCUUGGACAGCCUUCUGAAAGGAAAGAUUAAUACAAGAUGGCAUCAUGAGUCCGCAUGUUCACAUGAUUAAAGGUAUUCCGGUAGACGAUGGGGAUGCGUUCCAUUAGAUAGUAGGCGGGGUAACGGCCCACCUAGCCUUCGAUGGAUAGGGGUUCUGAGAGGAAGGUCCCCCACAUUGGAACUGAGACACGGUCCAA